RNAcentral lists this unclassified non-coding RNA (167 nucleotides) under uncultured Helotiales. RNAcentral's name for it is "sequence contains ITS1". The record is from RNAcentral. Lineage: Eukaryota; Fungi; Ascomycota; Leotiomycetes; Helotiales.
CCGAGUUCAUGCCCUUACGGGUAGAUCUCCCACCCUAUGUUAUACUACCUUUGUUGCUUUGGCAGGCCGUCAGGCUUCGGCCAGGCUACCGGCUCCGGCUGGUAAGCGCCUGCCAGAGGACCCUAAACUCUGAAUGUUAGUGUUGUCUGAGUACUAUAAAAUAGUUA